Molecule: unclassified non-coding RNA, 240 nt
Filed under: soil metagenome
Description: partial contains 5.8S ribosomal RNA, internal transcribed spacer 2, and large subunit ribosomal RNA
Source: RNAcentral
AACCAUUCUCACCUGCGGCUAGACCUGCGGAAGGAUCAUUAACGAAUAUCUAUGGCGUUGGUUGUAGCUGGCUCCUAGGAGCAUUUGUGCACGCCCGUCAUUCAUAUCAUCUUUCCACCUGUGAACUAUGUGUAGGCCUGGAUACCUCUCGCUUUGGAAUCGAAGCGGAUGCAAGGAUUGCUGUGUCGACAAGGCCGGCUCUCUUUGAAUUUCCAGGUUCUAUGUCUUUUUACACACCCC